UACGAAGGGGGCUAGCGUUGCUCGGAAUCACUGGGCGUAAAGGGCACGUAGGCGGCUUUGUAAGUUGGGUGUUAAAGACCAGGGCUUAACCUUGGGAGUGCAUUCAAGACUGUGAGGCUAGAAUAUAGAAGAGGUUGAUGGAAUUUCCGGUGUAGCGGUGAAAUGCGUAGAGAUCGGAAGGAACACCAGUGGCGAAGGCGAUUGGCUGGUCUAAUAUUGACGCUGAGGUGCGAAAGCGUGGGGAGCAAACAGG
Molecule: ribosomal RNA, 253 nt
Filed under: uncultured bacterium
Lineage: Bacteria
Description: partial 16S ribosomal RNA
Rfam family: Bacterial small subunit ribosomal RNA
Source: RNAcentral